This 1297-nucleotide long non-coding RNA is filed under the name Schizosaccharomyces pombe (fission yeast). Lineage: Eukaryota; Fungi; Ascomycota; Schizosaccharomycetes; Schizosaccharomycetales; Schizosaccharomycetaceae. The record is from RNAcentral.
GGAUACUGUGUGACUGUUUAGCAAACCCUACCCUAGGACGGUGUUUCAAACGUCGUACCCAAAACAACAUCAUGGCGAAAAAAUAUAACGAUAGUUAGUGAAAUACAUGCAAUUGUAGCAAAGGAUUAUGGAUGUGGAAAAUUGGAAUAUUUGAGUCUUUCAUAUACUUUUUAUGUUUUUACUUUAUUCUUUACAAAUAAAUACGAUUAGUCUUAAGUUAAUUUAGCACAAAGAUUUAAAGUCUCACGCAAAAAAAAGUUUUCACACCUGAAAAUCUGAAAACUUCAAUUUCCAUAAAUAUUAAGCUAUCAAAUACAAACAGAGUAAUGAUUUUGAAGAGCUGAGAUCGAAAGAAUUCUCGAGUUACUAGAUUUCAAAAAAUUUGGGAUGCCAGCUCGAGUUAUCCUAUUAGGCUUGUAUCCCACGGUCAAUUCAGAUCAUUAAUAGUAAUAGUUAACUUUCCAGAUACUCUACGGAGAGUUGAAUUUAUACUUUGAUCUAACAAACAAAAAUCAAGUUAAUUAAUAGAUAAGUCAAUUGAAAGCUCACCAGGCGAAAUGUCUUAUCUUGCCGCAAAGAAAAAUAUAUAUAUAGUAUACAGGAUAAAACUUUUUUUCAAAAAUUCAGAUUUAGCUGAUGUUUUUUAAGUUGUUUCAAGCAAGGUUUCAUCUCUUGCUGAUGCCAAUAAUUAUACUCUUAAGUUCGAGUGUAACUGAUAAAAAAAAAUCAAUCUUUGUAGUAUAGGAGUUUCAAAAAACGUUUACAUUCUUCAAACCAAAAAAAGCUAAAGGGCGCAUUAUCAUAGAAAAAGUUUUUUCUAAAUUAGCUCCGCAAUCAGCAUAGAGGAAAUAUGAAAACAAUAUACCGCACUUUCAAGAACUCAAUAAUAAAACGUACCUGAAUUACAAUUGCUCGACCUUUCUCCGAGAAAGUUACUUUGAUAGGAUCAGAGAGAAGAUUAGCUUAUAAGAAGAUAGGUAUCAACAUCCGAUCAAUUUAAUAUCGGAGAUCUGAACAACUUGUCUCAUCAUUUCCUUCUCCUGGUCGACUUUAUGGAACUAAAGGGUUACAAUUGCCAUUCGUUUAUUGAUCGAUAGUAAGCUUUCUUGAUAUCAUUAAAUAGGUUUUAUAGUUAUUUAUCACCAAGUGUACAUGUAUUUCUAAAGUCAUCCACUAUGAUUUAAUCCAACGCCAAUACAGAUAAGUUUUAGUCUUUCAGUUAUUUGAAGUUUCGAUUCAUAGGAUUUUGAAAUACAAGUUCAGCUGGCAAUAGGAAACAGGUUAAUUGCAAUUAACA